AUUGAACGCUGGCGGCAGGCCUAACACAUGCAAGUCGAGCGGAUGAAGGGAGCUUGCUCCUGGAUUCAGCGGCGGACGGGUGAGUAAUGCCUAGGAAUCUGCCUGGUAGUGGGGGAUAACGUCCGGAAACGGGCGCUAACACCGCAUACGUCCUGAGGGAGAAAGUGGGGGAUCUUCGGACCUCACGCUAUCAGAUGAGCCUAGGUCGGAUUAGCUAGUUGGUGGGGUAAAGGCCUACCAAGGCGACGAUCCGUAACUGGUCUGAGAGGAUGAUCAGUCACACUGGAACUGAGACACGGUCCAGACUCCUACGGGAGGCAGCAGUGGGGAAUAUUGGACAAUGGGCGAAAGCCUGAUCCAGCCAUGCCGCGUGUGUGAAGAAGGUCUUCGGAUUGUAAAGCACUUUAAGUUGGGAGGAAGGGCAGUAAGUUAAUACCUUGCUGUUUUGACGUUACCAACAGAAUAAGCACCGGCUAACUUCGU
Molecule: ribosomal RNA, 483 nt
Filed under: uncultured bacterium
Lineage: Bacteria
Description: partial 16S ribosomal RNA
Rfam family: Bacterial small subunit ribosomal RNA
Source: RNAcentral